CCUACGGGAGGCAGCAGUGAGGAAUAUUGGUCAAUGGACGGAAGUCUGAACCAGCCAUGCCGCGUGCAGGAUGACGGCUCUAUGAGUUGUAAACUGCUUUUGUACGAGAAUAAUAGUUCUUACGUGUAGGGAUAUGAAUGUAUCGUAAGAAUAAGGAUCGGCUAACUCCGUGCCAGCAGCCGCGGUAAUACGGAGGAUGCGAGCGUUAUCCGGAUUUAUUGGGUUUAAAGGGUGCGUAGGCGGUCCGUUAAGUCAGCGGUAAAAUUGCGGGGCUCAACCCCGUCGAGCCGUUGAAACUGGCAGACUUGAGUUGGCGAGAAGUACGCGGAAUGCGCGGUGUAGCGGUGAAAUGCAUAGAUAUCGCGCAGAACUCCGAUUGCGAAGGCAGCGUACCGGCGCCAGACUGACGCUGAGGCACGAAAGCGUGGGGAUCGAACAGGAUUAGAUACCCGGGUAGUC
Molecule: ribosomal RNA, 459 nt
Filed under: uncultured bacterium
Lineage: Bacteria
Description: partial 16S ribosomal RNA
Rfam family: Bacterial small subunit ribosomal RNA
Source: RNAcentral